RNAcentral lists this long non-coding RNA (21118 nucleotides) under Setaria viridis. RNAcentral describes it as "long non-coding RNA (SVIR_LNC004797)". Lineage: Eukaryota; Viridiplantae; Streptophyta; Magnoliopsida; Poales; Poaceae. The record is from RNAcentral.
GCCACUGAUGUGGGCGGAGCGCGCCGCCGAUGUAGCCGGGAAGUUGGGAUGUAGCUGGCUCGGUCGACGAGCGGGCGGAUCUCGACUGCGCCAAGUGGAGUGGGCGGGGAUGGACCAAUGGAGAGAUUGGGGGAAUAUGGAGAGAGGAGAAGAAACUAGGGAUGGAAACACAAGAGGAUAUGGGCCCACAAAAGUUUGGAAUAUAAUGUGUUUUACAAUCUAAGCAUUUUGAGCCCAGCCCAAGCCUGGUGGGUUCUAGUCCGCCCACGAUAGCUGCGGUGUUGGGCGUAGUCAGCGAAAACCAAGCCAAAAAAAUCGGGCCAGCCCAAAGCUGCGCAAACAAUUAAUUUCAUUUAUUUUUUAACUAAAAAGAACAAGAAGCCCAAGCCCAAUCUAGGCCCAGCCCGACAAUGCUGAUGGGACUGCUGUGGGCUGAAAUUUUUGACCCGAAAUGAACCGAGCUUUUUUGAGCCAGUGUGACCCAGCCCACAAAAUGAUCAGGUCUAGUUAUAGCUAGGCCCAUUGGAGCAUUGGUCUAUGGAUGACGUCGACAAAAUUACAGAUAGCGUACUAUAUUUACAGUGUUGCGGGUGUCCUAAGAAAAAUGUCUAUAACAAGAUCAAUAUGUUCUUGGCCUACAAAACAUGGAUAGAAAUUUGAUAAUAUAAAAAUGUGACCACACUUAGUAUUCAAAUGCUGCUACUUCCGAUAGACAAGUAUGCCCAUCUACUACGGGGCGUAUGUUUAAAUGACAACUUCUUUGGGUAGACAAGUGAGAAUUACACACCAGGUUUUAAAUGCUAACCGCCGAUUUGAAUAGGCAAGUAGUACAACUAGGGAUGAAAAUGCUACGUAUAUUAUCCGUCCGUUCGUAUAACCAAAGUAAUUCAGACACUCGAAUGGAUAGUUCGUAUCCAAAUUCGUUCAAUAUCUGUACCGUCACUACGGGAAACAGAAGCUUUGCCGAGUGCCAGAGGCACUCGGCGAAAGCCCAAAAACACUCGGCAAAGGCUUUGCCGAGUGUAACACUCGGCAAAGAGCAUACGGCAAAUUUUGUGUCGGCAAAGACUAGUUUGCCGAGUGUCAAAACGCGAGCACUCGGCAAACAUUUUGCCGACGGCCAAAAAAUACUUGGCGAAAAGAUGUACUCGGCAAAAUACGCGCUGACGGCGUCGGGGGUAACGGCGGGUUUGCCGAGUGCCAGAUGGGAGGCACUCGGCAAACACCGGGUCUUUGCCGAGUGCCAACACUCGGCAAACACCGGGUCUUUGCCGAGUGUCACGGAGUGGGCACUCGGCAAAGCCGGCUUUUUUGCCGAGUGCCGUGUCACGGGCACGCGGCAAAGACGGGCCCUUUGCCGAGUGUUAGGGUGGGCACUCGGCAAACAACCCUGCCUGGGUAGCUGGGAAUUAGGGCCUUUGCUGAGUGCCUCGCGCCUAGCACUCGGCAAAGACCCCUUGUUUGCCGAGUGCCUUGUCCCUAGCACUCGGCAAAUAAGCUUUCCUACACCUGGGAAAUGCACCUUUGCCGAGUGUUAAAGCCAAAACACUCGGCAAAGGCCCCUCUUUGCCGAGUGUUACACUCGGCAAAGUGACCAGAACCCCCCCUUUUUCGACAUUUUGCCACGUAUAACGGACCCCUCUCAAUUCACAAUACACAUAUCACAGGCAUUUGUAAUAAACAAUCACAUGCAUAAUUCACAACCACAGGCAUAAUUCAACAUAAGCACGAAAUAAUCCAUAAAUCCAAGUUCUUGUCACAAUUUAGUUUCCACAUUGUUCACAACCAAGUCUACUUCCGUGGAGGCCAAGGAGAUCACUGCGACAAAUCUUGAUCUUCAUUAUUCGAAGCCGCCGAUUGAUUCUGCACAUAGGAUAGGACAUUCUGAGCUAACAUCUAAAGUUGUCAAAUUUAAAGUAUUAAAUCUUAAGCACAAUGUGUCAAGUGACUCACAGGAGUAGUCAUGGGUGGCUGAGGCGGAGGGAACAUCAUCGGCGGUGGCGGAGGCAAAGACUGUCCCAUGCUCAAAGCAAAGUUCUGCAUAUACUGGAACAUCUGCUCCAUCCUAAUCCGGUUUUCCUCCUCCAUCCUCCGCCGCAUUUCCUCCAUCUGCGCCUCCAUCUGCGCCGCCAUCUCCUCUUGUUUCUUCCUUGAUUCUUCCACCUGGGCCUACAAUAUUUCAUUGCAAUGUUAUAAUGCAAAGCUAAAGUAUAACAACAAACGAACGAUGAAUGGAAGAGAAAGAACCUGUAGAGCUCCAUCUGGAACUGUGCAGCGGUGGGUCGUGGCCGUAUCGCCGGGCUCGAGUCCGUGCUCCUAGCUCGAAUCUGGGAGAGAGUGGGAGUAGAGGUCGUGUCGAUGACGCCGUCGCCAAUCCAAUAUCGGCCAUGCUUCUUGCCUCCUCCCACCCUCAUCAUGAUUUCUCCAUCAAUGUCCUCGGAGCUCGGAUCGAAUUCUGGCCCGUGAACCUCCCUAGCCAUCUUUGUAUACUCGCUGACGCGGCUGUGUAUGCUAGGGUGGCUGUACGCCUCGGACGGGUCAUCUGGGUUGAAAUCUAUAUCAACCGUCGCCUUGCCCUUUUUGGAGAGGACCCAUGCCUUGAGCUGGGAGCAAGGUCGACCAUCAUGUGACGCCGACUGUGGCAAAAUACAAAAUCAUUAAAAAUUACGUAGAACUGAACAUUACAAUAAAGAAUUGAAGUUGCGUACCCAUUUUUCUCUAUAUUCAUCAAGGCUUAGGCUGCCUUGAUGGUGUGGUGCAGUCGGCAUCUGCAAACGCCACUGUCGGCAAGCAAGGUGGUUCUCCAACCACCCGGGCUCCAACCACACGUCGACCAUCCUCUCCCAGCACGGCAUAUGCGCACGACACCACCACGGAGGCACCUACAUCAUCAAGCGUGUGACAUAUGAAAAAGAAAAUGAGCCUAAUUAAUCAUAAAUAGUAAGCAUCAACGUUCUUUACUUACCCUCAUGAAUUGGUCCUUAGUCAUGUUCAUUGUUCUUGCCUCCUCUUUUCUAACCUUCAUCUGUCUGUAUUGAGCGUGGAAUUCGAUGAUGGCCUGGAUGCACGCCUCGUAAUGCAUGUCCUUCAUGAGCUUCUUGGCGGCUACAUCACAGACGGCCUUCGCCUUGACCUCGAACCCCUCCUGGCAUCUAUAGAAGUCCUGCAUAUACACGCGUAUAUAGUUAUUAUUUCAAGAAUGUCGAAAGUAGGUGAUGUAUUGAGCAAUUUAGUACGAGGAGUACUUACCCACAGCUCGGCCUUGACCCGCUCCGCUAUGUUGGGGAAUCUUCUCUGUUGACGAUCAGGGACGUCGGGGGCGGCAACGUAGUGGUCCCACGUGUAGGCCGGCUGCAGCUGUCCAGCGUACACCACCAAGCCAGGGAAGUGAACCAUGCACAAAAGGCAAAGGAUCCCGUUGGCCUUACGAUUGUGGUCACCCCCACUGAGCUUAAUCCAACUCCUGCACAAGUCAUUAAUAUGAAUUAUUAGUUUUUGUAAAAGUCAACAUAAGAACAAUAUUAAGAAUAUUUAAAGUUACUUACUUGGUCCCAACCGGUUUAAUCAGCGGGCGUAAAUGCUCAGGUAUCGGCCGCUUCGGGAGGGAUGAGGGACCUCGCAACCAUAUCUUGGACUAGGCAUCCCCUGCCUCCCCGUCCCCCUCCUGCUCCUGCUGCUCCUCCUCCUCCGCCUCCUCAUCCCCAGAGGCGUGUGCGGAAGGUACCUCCUCCUCCUCCUCCUCCUCCUCCUCCUCCUCCUCCACCUCAGGUUCAGGCGACGGGGGCCUCGCCGCUUUACCCUUCCCUCGAGGCCUCUAGACCACCACCUCCUCCUCCUCCUCAACCCUACGUCGAGGCCUGCCUCGACGCCUCCCUCGACCGCUCCCUGAACGUGACCCUGACCCUGAACCAGUCCCUGCCGCGGUCAGUCUCUCACAAAUCGAUGUGAGCUUCCUCAUACCGCCCACCAUUGCUUAAUGACCAGCAAUUAAAAAGAGUACACGAGUCAGCAUAGGCAAACAAAACAUAAUUACAAAGAUAUGCAAAUUAUAAUUAAAUUAUAACUAAAUUAGUACGAAUCAUACAUGUAUUAGAAAUAAUCAUCAUGAUCGGGUUUAGUUGGAUCAUAAGUCUCAUCAUCACUAUCACGCGUGUCGAUAUAGUCAAGCUCGUGCUCCGAAGAAGAAUGUCGUCAUCACUGUCAUUAGCUAACUGUAAUCGUUGAAGUAAUUCUAAGUCCUUCACAUUCUGAACCUCGUCUCCACCGUCCUCUGCAGCAACCCUCUCGUUGUCUACUUCCAUUCCGAUCGCUUCGGUUAAAUCUAUCACAAAACUCCCUUCGAGCCCAUCUUCUUGGAAUAACUCUCCUUCGUACGUGUCGGGGUCUAUAUUAUAAUCUUCAUUGUUUGGUACAGGUAGUUUACCGUGUGGCGAUACCUUGUACACAACAUCCCAACCCUUAAGACGGCUGUCAGUUUGGCACGGGUAUGACAAAUAAUAAACUUGCGUGGCUGUCGGUGCGGCGGCCGGACGGGGGCGGGCGCGGCCGCGCGCGGGCGGCCGGCGGCGACGCGGGGGAGGCCGAGGGGCCGGCGGCCGGCGCCCGGAUCCCGGCGCGGGCGGGCGGCGGCGGCGGCGCGGCCGGGCGGCGACGGCGCGGGGCGGCGGAGCGGGCGCGGGCGGGCGGCGCGGGGGGCCGGGCGGGCGCGGGCGUGUGCGUGUUCGUGUUGUGCCUGUGCCUGUCCGCGUGAGGCGCGUGAUGCGCUAAGAGUGGUUAGGCCGCCCGCUUUGGCGAGUGCUCCUGAUCUAGCACUCGGCAAAGGCUUUGCUGAGUGCUAGAUCAGGAGCACUCGGCAAACAAUUUUUUUUUUAAUUUUUUUUUCGGAUUUCAAAGUGCGGCUGACAGGUGGACCGCGGCGACGUUUGCCGAGUGUCCCAGGGUUGACACUCGGCAAAUAGGCUCUUUGCCGAGUGCCAUUCCUUGACACUCGGCAAAUAGGUACUAUUAUUUCAUGUCAAACUGGUUUUAUUAAUUAAAAGUAUGUAAAGUUUGCAAAAACCUAGUCAAAUUCACUAAACAUUGCGUAUUUCAUUUUUUAAGUAAUAUUGUUCCAUCAUUUCAUGGAUUUAUAGCUCAUAUUAAAUUUAUAUCUAUUAAAUUCAUAUACGUGCAAUUAAUGAAUAAAAAUUACCAAACGGAUCUAAAAAAUUCCCAAAAUUUGACAUGAACCAAUCUAUGUUCUCUAUAGCCUAUAAAAAAAAUGGGACUCAAUGAGAAAUACAUGUAUCGAUUCGUCUCAAAAUCUUACCGGAUCCUUCCAACUUCUACGAAUCCUCUCCGGAGAUGCUUCGAAUUCUAAACAUCAUAUGUCAAAACUUGUGCGAAACCUUGUCAAUUUUUUACCACAGCCUCUGCAUAUGAAAUCAUAGCAUCUUGCAAAAUCUCGUGAUUUUCAAACUUCGUUUGUAUUUUUGAGAAUUAAACAAUCAUUUGGCCACACGUUCGUAGUCGUGUUUCCUUAGCAAAAUGUUCGAAAUUUCUUUUCAUUUUCUGGGUGAGACCUCAAUUUGGACUCACUAACAUGAAUAUGAUUUUUCCACUCAUAUUAUUCCAUUAUUCCAAUCACCUGCAGUUCAAAUUUGACUUAAAUCAAAAAAUUACUCUAAAUGAAAUUAAUUGAUUAAAUAUAGCAAACAGGUCAAAAAAUAGUCCACCUUCUACCAUGCAGUGCCAAAUGCCAUACAUGUGGAGUGUAAAAAGUUUGGAGGGUGGAGGAGGGAAAAAAAAUUACUUUUGCCGAGUGUGUCGAAAAACACUCGGCAAACCCUAAAGUAUGCCGAGUGUUCCCUCUAGCACUCAGCAUACUCGCCACUUUGCCGAGUGUCCCAUGACGACACUCGGCAAAGUAAUAGGUUUGCCGAGUGUUCCAUCACGACACUCGGCAAACUAGUAGCUUUGCCGAGUGCCCCCCGUCGACACUCGGCAAAGCCUAACGUCCGUCACGGCGCUGGCCCAUUGCGGCACGGGGAAGUCACGUGCUCAUCACUUUGCCGAGUGCUCCAUCUUUGCCGAGUGCCCCGUGGGUGUUUGCCGAGUGUUAUUUUGGUGGCACUCGGCAAAUAGUGUUUUCGCCGAGUGUAUUAUGUUUGCCGAGUGUUUCGAGUAUUGCACUCGGCAAACCGGUCCUUCGCCGAGUGCCCGCAAUAAUACACUCGGCGAAGUAAUUAGACUCGGCAACUUUGAGGUUUCCCGUAGUGCGUAUUCGAAUCUGAAUAUUCAAAGUUGAAUAUUUAAUAUGCGAAUAGGACAAGUAUCAUUAUUCGACACAUUUUGACACUAUUCAUAUCCGUAUUUGAUCCGAGAAAAAAAUAAGUAUUUGUAUUCGUAUCCGUAUAUAUUUGAUCCGUUUGUAUCCGAUCCGUUUUCAUCCCUAAGUACAACAGAUCUCGUGAUACUUUGGAUGAACACGAUUGAGACGGAUGAAGAGGUUGAGCUAGUUUGGUUAGCAGUGGACCGGGAGCCGCAAACUAUGCGGAGACUCAAUUCUAGAGCAAACUCUGAAGUCUUGCAGGAUCUUCAGAAGUUUUCGUUUACCCUGUCCCUAAUCCAUGAUCUCAGAUAUGAGGCUAGAACACAGUAGCAGCAACGAAAGAGGUAAGGCAAAAUGCAAUUCCGUUCCGCGAGGAAACAGGCAAUGAGACAAGGUCCAGAUAAGUACAAUGGUCAGCAGUGACUCACAGUACUGAGGUGAAUAGUGCUGUACAGUAUCGCCCACAAUACCCAAUAAUAUCUCUCCUCACAACUGUCGACUACUUAUCGUGCAUAGCCGCUGCACGAGAACCCGGCCAUGCUCGUGUUGUUGCUAUCCUUUUGUUUUCGCUAGGAACCUCUGUAUAUUUUCUGGGACGAACUUCUGCUUGAUAUAAUAAUAAUCCAGAGUUUACUUAAAAGAAGUGCUCCUCCAACGCGAAUUUGGGCCGCUACGGUAACAGUUCUCACGGGGCAUAUGCUCCCUCAAGCUCUCUCUGCGUGCACCUUCCAAUCUUGUGCCAGUUUAAGUUGUUGCUGCAGCUAGCUUGGAUUGGGGGCACUAGUAGAUGAAGUGAAACCUCCGAUUGGGAUGUUGGGGACUUUUUUUUAGAAAAAGAUAAUAUUCUGGCCCUGCAACUGCACACAGCAAGUUUUAACAAUAUUCUUAGCUCACAUGCUGAUUACAAUAAUAGGGGUAUAGUAUAUAAACGGUAGGAAGAAAUCAAAAGCAAAGUCUGUUAUUGUUUCUCCAUCUAUUUUUGGCAAAAAAAAAUCCAAGACGACAACCUACAACGCCUUAGACCAUCUCCAACAGCUUAUGUAAAAUGGAUUGCUAUCCAUAAAAACUACCAGAUACCAAAAACAACUAAAAAACUGCUUCAACCUACAUGGAUUGCUAUCCCUAAUGUUUUAGGCUAUGAUCUAAAUUUCUCUCUCCUAUAUGCAAAUAUAACGAUCCUAACUCUGGAUUGGUAAAACUUGCAGUGCUUCGGCGGGAAGGACAACUGCUCCGAUUGUGACUGUUCAACUCGGAGGCUUCCGCGCCUGGCUCACCCUCUCGGCCUCUCCGCCCUCGACCGCCGGCGCUAACACGGAAGGCGAUGGACCUCUGCCAGCAGCCCCUCCGCCAACCAUCCUGCACCCUUUCUCGUCUCCGGAAGCCCCAACGACGAGCCAUCCCAUCUGCCAGUGCCCCUCCUCUCCCUGUGAGCUUGACCCCCGGCACGCGGGUGAGCUUGACCUGCUCGCCGCUGCCGCAGCGAGAGACGCCGCACUGAAUCCGACAUGUCGAAUCAGAGAGAAGCUCAAGCGGCAUGGCCUACGGCAGUGGGUGAGGCCGAGGUGGCUAGUGGCGAAGGGGAAGGAAGGAGGAGGUGAGGGAGAGGUCGUUGAUUCGAUUUGAGGCCGUCCACCACUGAAUCGUUGUCCUCCGCUUUGAUUUGAGGCCGUAGGGGAGCUCAUCUCCCCAUCCGACAUCCUUGUCGCCAUCCAUGGAUGUGAGAGGAGCUCGUAGGGGCUGUAGCUCGUCGAUUUGCCAUUGAGGAGAAAGGCAACAUCGAUUUGAGCAGAGGGGGAAGCAUGGACGACGUCAAUUCAGGGGCUGAACGCAGGGAGGGGAGGAGGAGGCGGGCGCCGGGCGCGAGGAUGCGCGGAGGAAGAUGGCGGUGUGAGAGGGAUCGAACGAGACAAAGAAGGGGAUUUUUUUGGCGUGGACAUGACCUUUUGCCAAAAGGCCCUCAUUAAAAUAUGUAAUUUUUAGUAUUUUCCUGUGUCUUGAUCCUUUACGAGAAACCUUAGGAUCACCAAAGUUUAUAUAUGAAAAUUUUCUCUCCCCUAUACUUCAAACCAAUUUUAGAUCACUAAUUUUACCUAUGCUGUUGGAGAUGCUUUUACGUGACAAAUGAACAAUCUCCCUUGUUGGGGACUUACGGAGGUCGAUACGGCGGAGGAAAUUUUGAAUCUACUGUUGCUGUGCUUGAUUCGUCCGCCGAGCUUUUUGUGUGUUUGUGCUAGCUCGACUAAUUUGUGAGUAAGAUUUUGAUUGUUUUUUUUUUGUUUGGGUGUUGCGGCGGCCUAUGCUCGUCCAACGAACCGUGCAAGAGGAACCACCAUUGUGGCAUUGUGCUUGAACACGAUGCUUUUUUUUUCCAUUCACAGUCUCUGACAUCCAAAUGUCCAUGUGGCUCCGGUGAGCAGGGUUUGGUUUUCUGAUCCACGGUUCGAUUUCUGUAGUAUACUGAAGCUGCUCUAGCAUACCGGUACAAAACGUACUGAAGGAGUACUUGGGAGGCCCGGGACUCCUGUCCCCGGACACGUCUGGCGCUUCCACAUGCUGCGUGCGCGGCCGCGGGCGUGCUUGUUUUGACUAAGGCUGCGACACAGAGUGUUGGGACUUGGGAGUGCUGUUUGGCCUCUUGGCCUUUGGAGAUCAGUUUUCCAGAGAGAGAGAUUGUGACCCCUUGUUUACUUCCCUCCAAACUCCCAACUUUGACACCAUGCAAAAAGAAGAUUCCCCAUCAUAUCAAACUUGCGGUACAUGCAUGGAGUACUAAAUGUAGACGAAAUCAAAAACUAAUUGCACAGUUUUGUUGUACUUUGCGAGACAAAUCUUUUAAGCCUAAUUAGUCAAUAUUUGGACAAUAAUUCACAAAUACAAACGAAACGCUACAGUGUCGCAUAUAUGGCAAAAUGCCAAUUUGGCACCUCUCAACUUGGGAAGUAAACAAGGGCUGAGUGGGUAGAUGUCACGCACAAUUGCAACAAAUCAAUAUUAUUAGUAGGGUAACGCUACAGCUGGCCGUCCGGUGGAUGGUGAAAAUAUCGAACGCGGGUCCACACGGAAAAAAUAUAUUAUGCUUCUUCAUCACACGUUGCCUCCAUGCAUUCAUUUCUUAUCCUUUCACUUUCCCCUCCUCUGGUUCCUUCCAUGAGAAGCUACUCCCCUUCUCAUCCAGGCAUCUAGCCCACACACACGCUAGAUGCUAGUGAGAUUGCAGGGGUCAUCCCCCACACCCCCAAAGGUCAAAGCAGUGCACCCACCGAGCUCCCGCUGGGCGCUGCCGCCGCCGACCUGGGUCACGAGCUAUUCCCAUUCGUGUCGUUUGAUGAUAUGAUCGCAGGAUGCUGAGUCGCUUGCUCCCAUGCCAGUGGUCGAGCCAUGCACUUGCUGUUACUCAUGUGCUUACCGGGAGGAGGUCCAUGGAAGGGGAAGAUGGAUGUAUGCACCGUGACUCCAUGAGAGCAUUCUAUUGUGCUCUGGAGGAAGAAGACUUUAGAGGCACCACUAAGCCACGACGUACCGAAAUUUUAUGAUGUUGCAGUUGGUAUUUUUGAGAUGUUGGGAUUAGUGUUUGCUGAUGUUGCACUAGAUGGUCUUUGAUGUUGUAAUGUUGGUUUUGAGAUGUCCAGUUUCAUGUUCGGUUUUUCCGAUACAUUGGAUGGUUUGAGAUGUUGGGGCGGCCUCGCUGAUGGGGAGCUUCUUUAUGAUGGAUAUGAGGCUCCUUCAUGAAUGAGGUCUCUGGAUCUGCAUAGGACUUUUCAAUGUUGCAGUAGCUUACCUAAGAUGUUUCGCUAAUUGACCUUUAAUGUUGCAUCGUCUAUCAAGUAGAUCUGCAAUGUUGCUACUGUUAUAAGUUUAAUGUUGCAUCGUCUAUCAAGUAGAUCUGCAAUGUUGCUACUGUUAUAAGAAAAUGUUGCAUGUAAUGGUUUUUAAUGUUUCACGCAUGUGCGACUGAUAGACUGUGAUUUUCGUUGAUUGAUUUUUCAUGUUGAAUAUUUGCUUUUGAGAUGUUGCAGUUAAAUUGUGAUGUUUUGCUUGUUGGUUUGAGAUGUUGCAAAAAGUUUAUUAGCCUAAUUUUGUUGUUAGGGGAUCAUGGCAUAUGGAUUUUGAGUUAUGAACUCAUUUUUUGUGGAUAGACGCGAGGCGGGUAUGUCCGACUAGGGAGGAGCUGCUUGUUGAAAUGACAGUUUGCUGAAAAGAAAUCGAUGUUUCUUGCAACAUUAAGCAAAUGUUUUAGUGGAAGUUUUUUUUUAAUCUAAUAGUAGCAUCCCAGUGUCCGAUGCUACGCCCGGAUGUUCGACGUCCGGGCUAGCAGCGCCCUUAUUAGUAAUAGAUAGGUGUACCGAUCUACUACGGAUGAAUGUCUAAAUGCCAACUCCUUUGGGUAGAUAAGUGUCCAGAUCUAGGUAGGAUUACGAGAACUACACAUCAAAGGUUUAUAAAUGCUAACCAACAUUUGGAUAGACAAGUGCAACAAACGGAUCUCGUAUUCUCGUGACACCUUGGAUGAACAGCGAUUGAGACUGUUGCGAGGUUGAGCUAGUUUGUUUAGCAGUGGACCACCAGGGAGCCGCAACGCAAACUAUGCACAGAGACUCAGUUCUAGAGCCAAUUGUGAAGUCUUGCCGGAUCUUCAGAAGUUUUCGUUUACCCUGUCCCUAAUCCAUGAUCUCAGAGUCAGAGGUUACAUUGCUACAACACAGUAGCAGCAACGAAAGAGGCAAGAAAAAAAAAAGGAAUUCAGUUCCACGAGGAAACGGGCAAUGAGACAAAGUUCUGAAUCUUCAUAGCUUUUCGUGUACCCUGCCCCUGAUCCAUGAGACAACGACAAUCCCAGCCUCAGAGAUGGCAGGUACAACGAAACAGGCAAGGAAUGCAAUUUAGUUCGACAAGGAAACAGGCAAGACAAUCAGUACAAGAUCAAACAGCAGCACUGCUGACCACGCAUAAUUACGAAUCCUGAACCCAUGGACACCUUUUAUUCCUGCAUGAUCCACUGCCAUUGUACACCGCGGACAGAGGAGAGAGUACACAGCUCACAGAGUUUCGGACACAACACAGUUACCGCCAGAUCUCGCCACGACGCCACCAGAUCGAGCGCCCGCCCGCCGGCCGGAAGCAGAUCAAUUGUUAGUGGCGGCACCGGCGUCGCCCUCCUCCUUCUUGUCCCCCUCGGCGGGCGGGUUGAGCUGGAAGGCGGUGACGGGGAAGGCGCGGCCGAGCCCGGCGGGGGUGCGGAACACGACCUUGGUGCCGGAGGGGCUGACGACGAUCUCGGAGAUGGUGACCCAGAUGAGGAGCUCCUUGCUCUUGACCCCGGUGAGGCCGCUCAUCCGCCCGGGCUCCACGAACGCCGUCACCUCCUUGUCGUACCACACCUGCUUCCCGAUGGUGUCGAAGGUGUGGGUCACGCCGGCGGCCUGGCGGAGCCACACGAAUCCCGUGGACCGGUUGUACCCCACCUCGUCGAGCGCCGGCAGCGGGAGGAGGCCGUCGGGGAGGCCCAGCUCCACCAUGAACUCGCGGGACUUCUGCGCGCACAGCUCCCGCCCCGCGUGCACCUCCGCGCCGGAGCGGUGGUCCUCGAUCGCCUGCGACGACAUCUCCGGCGACGGCGGUGGUGGUGGAGGGGAGGAGGGAGCUGAGGGGGGUUUCUUGGUUGGUUUGGUUCUCUCUUGCCUGUUUGGGCUUGUUUGGUUUACUUUUUCUUGGAUUCUUGCGAAGAAGGUUGGGGAAGGUGGGUGGCGUGUUUUAUAAGCGGAGGACCGGACGGGGAACGGGGGAAGAAGACAGGUUCCCUUUUCAACUGUGAAUCGUGAUCGCCGGGGGACGAAGACGGAGACGGGAGAGCGCUAAUCAUCAGAGAUUGAGUGCAUUACUGGUGCGGGUGAGAAGAAAGUAGAUCUGACGAAGAAGCAACCUGGCCUGGGUCCGAUCCCAAUAAUGGCCCCGCUGGCUGUUACAGUGGACUACUAACCUCCGUUUCCAAGAAGUUGAUAACUCUUUGACCACUGCAUGGUUAAUGGUUUAUGGUUACCAAGAUCAAGAUGAUACACUUUUCUUCAUACGAAAUUACCAAAAUGUUCCUAAAAAAUUAUCUCUACAUGUUUGCAUAACAUUUUAAUACUAUUUUAUAAAAGUCAAAAUACUAGAAAACAAUAUCUUAAAAACAUGAAUUCGCAAGUAUUUGCAAAUAGAUAAUGUACUUAAAAGUGUAAAGUAUUUGAAAAUAGAGGUUAACGUACGAUGCUAGGUGAUGGGCUAUGCGGUUGGUCAACCGUCUUAAAAAGUUGUACCACCAACCUGAGACACUACGUUGAAUUAUUUACAUCGAAAAAUCACAUGGAUAGUUCAGCCCAACCAUGCCAUAACAUUUUUCUUUUCGAACGAACGGAGCACAAGAUAGAUAGUGAUCGUUUCUAUUUACAUAGAAGAAGAGUAGAGAGUAAAAUGCCUAAACAGGCAAGAAAACAAUCCAAAAAGACUGGGAAAAACUUGCUAUACUGGCUAUACAACAGAAAUAGUUAGGUUCAUGCCAUAACAUUGAAGCAUGGUUAAUAACACGUUUGUGCCUCUGUCGCGCCGUGCAACGUCUAUAUAGUUUAAUAGCAAAAUAAGAAAAUAAACAAAACGGAUCAUUCAGCUUCUAUUGUCCCGUACGUGUUUGACGCCUUAGGCCUUGAGUACACACACAACAAUUGCUGCCAUAUCAGCCAUUGUGCUGAGAUACUAGCAUAGUAGCAUGGCACAGCCUAAAAUUUUCGUGCCGUGCUUUUAGCCAUGCUAAAGAGAUCAUUGUUGCAGACAAGGUACUAAAUAGUAUCUGUAGCGCCUGGAAUAGCAGCUGCUAUAGCAGUAGCGGACACAAGAUAGCAUGUUUGGACUUAGCGGCCGCUAUUGCUCAUAUUAGGCCGCUAUUUGCUAUAUUUAUAACUCUAGUGAUAUGUGAAUAUGAAUUAAAUGGUAAUAAUAGUGUUUAAAAUAAUUAUUUAGAUACUGAAUAAAUAUGAUAAUUUAAUGUUAAUAUAUAUCCAUACAUCCUAAUUACAUCUAUUUAUUUGUGAUUCUUACCAUGAAAUGUAAUUGCUAACUUAAAAUUUUAACUUUUUUAAAGUGAACUCGAUGUUAAUAUUCAUAUAUGCUCUUAAAUUUUGGCUAUUUUUUUAAUUCCGCUAUUUGAACUUAACGUCCGCUGUAGCAUCAUUAUCCGCAAUCUAUUUGGACUUAACAUCCGCUGUAGCAUCCGUUAUCCGCGAUCCACUGCAUCGAUCCUAAUCCGUCCCAAGUUCCAACCCUCUAGUGUUAAUGACUGGUAUAGUAGUAUUUCCUAAGGGCACGUGCAAAGGACCCGUCUAUUCGUGUCCAGGUCAGCAGAAUCAGCCUCCGUGGCGUUCAUUAAUUGAAGAAAGAGGGAGUUGCCGGCGUCUCGUUCAUCUACGGCACGCGCUCGUGCUCCUAACGCAAGUCGCCGUCUCCCCGAGCGCGUUGUAGGAGCUGCUGCGGGUCGCCGACGGUGGCGUGGAUCCGGUGCGCGCGGCCUCAGCGUGGGGAAAAUCAGCAAUGGUGGAGUAGCUUGCCUCAGCGUGCUCGUCGCGGCCGCCGGUUGCCUGCUCCGCACCACCAGUCAGCCGCAUGCGCUGGCAGCCCAUGCCGAGCGGCGCCGGCGCCGGCCGCCGGACGUUGCGCCGCGCCGGUCGUCGGACGCUGCACCACGCCGCCCAAGCUGAGCCGUACCGGCCGCCGGAUGUUGCGACGGCCAACCCAAUCCACCGCUUACUGCCUGUCGCCGUGCCCAGAUGCAAACGGGAGAGAAAAGAAAAGGAGAGUCAACAGGAGAGAUGGGCAGGAGGGUCAUGGUAGUCGGCAGAAAUAUCUUCACCAUUUUACAUUAUUGCCCUUAACGAAGAUAGAAAUUGAAGAAAGUUCUCUUAGGAAAGCUAGAAGGAUAUGAAUGAAAAUAAAAAAAUUAUAUUUCAGUCCUUUAGGUAGGGGUUAUAUUCUUCGGAUGGCGUACAUAAUGUAUUCUCACAUAAGCAACAAAAUGGUAUACAAAGAUUAUGUUUAUGCUUGAUCACCAUAAUUUACAGGUUUACGGUUUACAUACAAUAUAUAGACGAACCAUUAUACAAGAUAUCUAUUUUACUAUCUAUGUGUGGUGUGGUAAGUUUUUACAGACAACAACCAUCUAUGCUGUUGUACAUGCCCUAACUGCUGGUAUCUUUGGGGCAGCAACUCAUACGCAAAAGUAUCCCUUUCCCAAGACAUUGACAAUGACUCGCAACAGCCUUCUAGUACGUCAAGCAGAUCAAGCGGUUGAGAUCUUUUCUCAUGGUACAUACAUGAAUGUUUAGAACCGAUCGACCUUCUCCUUUUCUGGAGUCAUUCUUUCGAAUUGGCAUACUCUAACGUUGGUAAAAGUGGUGGCUUUGAACAUGAGCAUUAUGCCGUAUGGUACGUGUGUCCAACAUGCUUGAGCAGUGAAACCUGCAUACGAGCCUUGGGAACCAAGAACAUGCCACAGGGCUGGAUCAGAUUCAGAUCCGAGCAGUCACAUCCACAUGGUCACAUGACGAGCAGCGGUUGGAGGUGCGUUGUCGUGCACCCCGUCGUCCCUGGGCGUGGUCCCUGGAGCACGAGCAUUCGAUGCUCUGCAUGCCCGUUUCCUCGGAACAGGAGAACAGUUGCUAUGGCACUACCGGCUCCUUUACGGGCAUCAAAUGUGCAGCGCCCAACCGUCGAGCAAAGUUUUCAAUCAAAAUGGUGGAUUUCAACCAGUUGGUAUUCAUGCAUGGCACGGGUCAGUCUUGCUUUACUUUGUUUGUGAUUGGUUAGGACUUUGAUGGAUAGAUGUUUACUCCCUCCAUACUAAAUUUAGGUCAUUUUGACACUUUUAAAUACAUAUAUUUUACUACGUAUCUAGAUAAUUAUAUCUUUAGGGGGCGUUUGGUUCCUUUGCUUAUUUUUAGCACGUGUCACAUCGAAUGUUUAGAUACUAAUUAGGAGUAUUAAACGUAGACUAUUUACAAAAUCCAUUAGAUAAGUGGAGGUUAAACGACAAGACGAAUCUAUUAAGCCUAAUUAAUCCAUCAUUAGCAAAUGUUUACUGUAGCAGUACAUUGUCAAAUCAUGGACUAAUUAGGCUUAAUAGAUUCGUCUCGUCGUUUAGCCUCCACUUAUGUAAUGGGUUUUGUAAAUAGUCUACGUUUAAUACUCCUAAUUAGUAUCUAAACAUUCGAUGUGACGGGUGCUAAAAAUAAGUGAGGGGAACCAAACAUCCCCUUAGGGCGGAGCUACGUUUAGGCAGGAUGGGGCGGCCGCCCCAGCUGCCCGCCGGCCUCACCUCAGACCCUUGCGUUGCUGGCCCCUAUUCGCCCCUAUCUCUACAUUUUUUUCUGUCGCGUCAGCUGCAACGAGCUAGCAUCGAAGAGGAGAUGUUGCGCAGCACCUGUCGCCUGAUGCAGCCUGUUCACUUCAGCUUAUCAACUGGCUUAUCAUCCACCAAUCAACCGGCUUAUCAGCUACCAAACAGUAUUUUUCUCUCACAACAAAUCAACCGUUUCAGUUUUCCAACCGGCUUAUAAGUCCAGCCGAAUAGGGCUAUGAUUUUACUGCUUGUUGGGCUGGACUAGCAGCAAGGCAGCAGCCUAAGGACUGACGCGUGAGCCAGGGAGGACGGAGGGACCCCAUCGUAUGUUCGUAGCUCUCCGGCGCGCACUCCAACUCAGAAAAAUUCUUCCGCGCACUCGCCCACCACACACAGUCGCGGCGCAUGUGUCUCUCUUUCUCCGCCGGCGCCCACGCCAGGCUAUGUCUCUUGUGUUGCAUACUCUCAGAAACAACAGACUUACAGACAGCUGAUCUCCAAUUUUCAAAUUCCCCAUCCAUUCGCUCAUCUAUAUAUGCUUGUGCAAUCGUGCUCGCUCGUCGCUUCCAACCCUAGUGGCCUAGCCGGCAUGCGGCACACGCCAGCGUUGGCACACAGAGCAGGAACGACGGACGCAGCGCCAGCACAAGGAGCAGUACUGGCGACCGACUGCGCGAGCUGCGAGCACAUAGAGGAGGAGCAGCAGCCGGCAGUGCUACGCGAAGCAGUAUUAGACGAUCCAUAAUAUGUUUUGUAUUUUACAAUGUAUAUCACAUUUGCAAAUUUGUUCCUCAAAAUUGAGGUUGCGUUAUUACUCCUUUAAUUUUGUGCUAUAUUUUUAGUAACGUGCAUGUCGGUGUGAAUUGGUGCAUUUUUUUGUUUAAUUUAGUCUCUGAUAUGUACCCGUUAGGGUUGGUUCCCGAUCUUUCAAUACGAGGGCGUGGGGUAACUCGAUGGGUGGAUAGAGGCCCGACUAUAGCCUUCCAAGCUGCACCUUAGCAACCGAUAUACCACCUCCAAUGGUUGCCGCGAUCUUGUGGAGCGCGUCACCCGGCCACUAGGGCACUCGUCCUGCGAGCAAUUGAAGAACUAGCAAGAACAAGUAUAACAAGUACUGAAUUUACAAGAUGUAGAUGAAGAUUUCAAUCUCAAUCUCAAUAAUGGUGGGGUUCCGAAGACAAGAAGACGGAUGGUUGAUCCAGCACGCACGCUUACAACCAAGUAGCGAGAGCUAAACUUGAUCUAAACAAAAUUCAAUCUGUUUAUGGCGGCUCUAAUCCUUAUUGAUACCUAAGAGAAUGACCAAGGGGUGUUGGGGUUGUGCUCUAACCCUAGGAUGUGUUCCUAAUGGACCCAACUUGAUACACGGCCCAUCAGGCCAAAAUAAGGCGAUGCAGCGCCUUUGGACAGAAAACCUCUUAGUAGUAAUUUAGUCAUUGUGGCUGCCUCAGAAAAGAUAUGGACUUGAAUCCGGAUCCAUUUGAAAAUAGACUUCAUAAGGAUUCUAAGGAGUACUCGAACGACCAAAACGGAGCCUGGAUGAGGUUGUCGCGGCUGUCACAAGUUGGCGCAGUGUUGUAGUCCGAAUCCAGCCCCAAAACGUGUUGGAUUGGAUCUCUUUCUUUCCUUGGGCCAAAAGUGACGUUGUGGCCUAGUGGAGGAUGUUGGGAAUACUUGAACUUGACCCCAAUCAACUUCUUUAGUCCUCCAUACCUUCCACGUAUGUUUAACACUCUUUUUGAUCCACGUAUGUAUUUCUAAAAAUGACAUCAUGGUGCAGCAUCAAUUUAUCAAAUGUAUCAAAUACAACCAUGGUAAAGAAUUGUUUUACCUAUGAAUCAAAAGUUGCUAAUGUGGUUCUAUCCGAGCAGUGAUGUCCUCAUCAUUCUCCCCUUCUUGACUGCAAGUCGUCCUCGACUUGCUCCAACGGCAUUCAAAGAUGCUUGCUUUGAUGUUGGAACAUGGAGCGAUGAUCAUGCUGCAUGGCCACAACCAGUAAUGCUCCCUUUCUUUGGUCUUACCCUGUUGCAUAUGGGAAAAACUAUAAGCUUGCCAAGGGUCAAAAAUGAGCCUUAAGCAAUAUCAUGUUCAUCUCUCCAGAGAUGAACAUAUGCCUGCCAGCUCCCGAGCCUUGGUAGGUAUUCGAAGAAACUAGCCAAGGGUCUCAAGACAGGAGCUUUUACAGGCCUACAAUAAUCUCAAUUGGUGAAAGGUUCCAGAAGAUGCUUUUACAGGCCUACAAUAAUCUCAAUUGGUGAAAGGUUCCAGAAGAUGUUAAUCGUAAGCAAGAAGAUUGUUUACGAAGAAACAACAAGAAAAAUUCAUAUUCUGAUACAUAAGAGUUAUAUAGGAAUUGAAAUAGUCUUUUAUUUUCUUUUUUCAAGAGAAAAACCGAUUUCAUUGAAGUAAUAAGACUACUCCAAUUCGAAUAAUAGUUGAGAAAGAAUCGCAAUAAAUGCAAAGAUGGAACAUAUUGAAUCCGGUAUUCAAGGAGUUGAACUAGGAUUUCUAAAUGGAUAGGAUAGGGUAUUUCUAUAUGUGAUAGAUAAUGUAAAUGCAAAAAUUUGUCUUCUAAAAAGGGAAAUAUUGAAUGAAUAGAUUGUAAAUUUUUAAACUUUAUUAUUUCUUUUUCUUCCGUAGAAGAUAGUUGCCCUAGCGAAAGUGGGAUUUCUACAACGAUCGCAAACCCCUCAGAUAGAAUCUGAGAAUAAAACUCAGAAUAAAAAUAAUUGCUGUGAUCCAACAAUCGAUCUUGGUUAGGCUGAUUAACCGAAUUAAUCCCAAAAUUCUGCUGAUACAUUCGAAUAAUUAAACGUUUCACAAGUAGUGAACUAAAUUUCUUGUUAUUACAACCAAAAAUUUCCACAGGCUUGGCACCAUUUAAUCCAUAAUCAUGGGCAAAUGCAUAAAUAUAUUCCUAAAAGAGAAGGGGAUAGACGAAGUCUUGUUGAUGAGAUUUCUGUUUUUCUGAAUACCCCUCAAAUUUUUCCAUUUGUAUUUCUACUUGAAUCAGAGAAAAAAAGCAUUUCUCAGUUUAUCAAAUGAUGAUAUGAUACAUAGUGCAAUAUGGUCAGAACAAGGUGUUGCAUAAUACAAGCCCUGGAAAGAAAGGAAGUCUAAUCCAUAGAUCUUUUUCCGCUCCUUUUCUAUCCAAUUAGUUUAUGUUUGUUCUAAUUAGAAAACAAACAAGAACAAAUCUUUUAUUUUUGCGGGCCAAUCGCUCUUUUGACUUUGGAAUACAGUCUCUUUAUCAAUAUACUGUUUCUUUUACACAUUCAAUUCAUAACAUCCCUUUUCAAUCCAUAAUCAAGAAUAAUUAGGAUUUCUAAAAAAAAAAGUAAAGGGUCCACUCAUAGGAAAACCUAACCUUUCCCCGCAUCAGGCACUAAUACAUUUUUAACGUCUAAUUAGAUCGGGGAAUCCUUCCAAUUAAGAAGUUAAGCUCGUUGCUUUUUAUUUUAUCAGAAUUAGAGCCAGGCUCUAUCCAUUAAUCACUAGACCCAGAAAAUCAAAAAAAAAUAUUCAAAAAAAAGAAAUUAAUUGUAUUACGACAUGCUAUUUUUUCCAUUCAUUACCUUUGAGGAUCAGUCGUGGUCUUCUAGACUCUACCAAGAGUCUGGACGAAGUUGUUGUUUCAUCCAAAUGUGUAAAAGAUCAUAGUCGCACUUAAAAGCCGAGUACUCUACCAUUGAGUUAGCAACCCAGCUAAAAUAGGAUCUCUUAGACACGAUCGAAAUCCAAAAAUCAAUGGAAUUACACCGGACGCUCCUGUCAAAACAUUGAAUUAGCAAGACAUAAAAAGAAAGAUUUUAUCACCCAUUAAAAACACUCAAAUACCAAAAUGAACUGAUCCCGUACAAUUUCACUACGGGUAAAAAAGGAGCGGCCGCAAUCACAAUGGCAAAAUUGUCAUUUUUUUAGCAAUUUUUAUAUCUUUAAAUAAACAAAUCUUCUAUAGAGAGUACAUGCAAGGGGGGCAACCCUAUCAUUUGAGCGAAGUGUAGAUAGAAAUACCUAAUAUGGAGUGAUGAUAAAGAGAUCCAGCUAUCUACAAAUUCUAUUUGUUUAAUAGACCUUUGUCAAUGGAAAUACAAUGCAAUUAGAUACAAAAAGGAAAUAAAAUAAGGACUUUUGUUGGAUUGGCACGACAUAAAUGCAACAAAAAAAUAAGACUAAGAAAGAGGUUGUGUCUAAGAAAUUAAGAGGUACUAGCGUCCCCUCCUACUUUUUUAUUCAUUUAGUUCUUCAAUUAACUCAAAGUUCAUUCUUUAUCUUUAAAGAAUUCUGCUUUCCUUAAAAUAUCAUAAACUAUUCUUGUAGGUUGAGCACCCGUUUCAAGGAAAUAGAGAAUAGCUGGAACAUUUAAACAAGUUUGAUUCUUUAUUGGAUCAUAAAAACCCACUUUUUGAAGAUCUCUUCCUUCUCUUCGAGAUCGAACAUCAAUUGCAACGAUUCGAUAGAUAGCUUAUUGGGAUAGAUGUAGAUAAACAACCCCUCCCCUAGAAACGUAUAGGAGGUUUUCUCCUCAUACGGCUCGAGAAAAUGAUUCUAAUUUCUAUCUAUAAUACUAAUUUCUAUCUAUAAUAUAAGUAGAUAGAAAUUAGGUUAUGACUUGCAUUAAUUUCCUUAAAGAAAAGAAAAAACAAAUUUCAUUUAUACUCAUGACUCAAGUUUGCUAAUUUUGACUGAGAGACUUCAAAAGAAAAACCCUUCAAAAUUUUUUGAGUCGUCUCUAAACUCUUUUCUUUAUCUCAUCUCGAACAAAUUUACUUUAUUCCUUAUUCUGAUCUAAUUCUAUUGUUGAGAUGGUUGAAGAUCGUGUUUACUUGUUCUGGAAUCCUUUAUCUUUGAUUUGUGAAAUCCUUGGGUUUAGACAUUACUUUGGAAAUUCCUAUUCUUUUUUCUUUGAAAAGAGUAGCAACAUACCCUUUCUUUUUUCUUAUUUCCUUCAAUAAAGCAUUUCACUCUUCUAUAGAAAUCAAAUAUGAACGAUUGAUUCAGAUAGACUUUUAAUCGAAAAAGUUUUUCCAAUCUUCCAAAAUUUGACUUUUUCUUAUUUUAACCUUUUUAUUUCUAUAUUAACGAUAGACUGACAAAGUUGGUCUAAUUUAUUAGUUUUCACUAACCCUAGAUUCUUUCCCUUGAUAAAAAAGAAAUUCUGUCCUCUCGAGCUCCAUCGUGUACUAUUUACCUACAAACAACCCAGCGCAAAUUAGGUUCGGGACAAAUAGAACAGACUAUGUCGAGCCAAGAGCAUUUUCAUUACUAUGGAAAAUGAUGGAUAGAAAAAUCCACAAUCGAUCAUGUCCUUCAAGUCGCACGUUGCUUUCUACCACAUCGUUUUAAACGAAGUUUUACCAUAACAUUCCUCUAAUUUCAUUGCAAAAUGGUAUCAAGAAUUGAUCCAAUAUGGAAGGAAUCAUGAAUAGUCAUUGAUUUUGUAU